UGGCGAACUGGUGAGUAACACGUGGGAAACCUGCCCAGAAGCGGGGGAUAACACCUGGAAACAGAUGCUAAUACCGCAUAACAACUUGGACCGCAUGGUCCGAGCUUGAAAGAUGGCUUCGGCUAUCACUUUUGGAUGGUCCCGCGGCGUAUUAGCUAGAUGGUGGGGUAACGGCUCACCAUGGCAAUGAUACGUAGCCGACCUGAGAGGGUAAUCGGCCACAUUGGGACUGAGACACGGCCCAAACUCCUACGGGAGGCAGCAGUAGGGAAUCUUCCACAAUGGACGAAAGUCUGAUGGAGCAACGCCGCGUGAGUGAAGAAGGGUUUCGGCUCGUAAAACUCUGUUGUUAAAGAAGAACAUAUCUGAGAGUAACUGUUCAGGUAUUGACGGUAUUUAACCAGAAAGCCACGGCUAACUACGUGCCAGCAGCCGCGGUAAUACGUAGGUGGCAAGCGUUGUCCGGAUUUAUUGGGCGUAAAGCGAGCGCAGGCGGUUUUUUAAGUCUGAUGUGAAAGCCUUCGGCUCAACCGAAGAAGUGCAUCGGAAACUGGGAAACUUGAGUGCAGAAGAGGACAGUGGAACUCCAUGUGUAGCGGUGAAAUGCGUAGAUAUAUGGAAGAACACCAGUGGCGAAGGCGGCUGUCUGGUCUGUAACUGACGCUGAGGCUCGAAAGUAUGGGUAGCAAACAGGAUUAGAUACCCUGGUAGUCCAUACCGUAAACGAUGAAUGCUAAGUGUUGGAGGGUUUCCGCCCUUCAGUGCUGCAGCUAACGCAUUAAGCAUUCCGCCUGGGGAGUACGGCCGCAAGGCUGAAACUCAAAGGAAUUGACGGGGGCCCGCACAAGCGGUGGAGCAUGUGGUUUAAUUCGAAGCUACGCGAAGAACCUUACCAGGUCUUGACAUACUAU
This 911-nucleotide ribosomal RNA is filed under the name Lactiplantibacillus plantarum. RNAcentral describes it as "bacterial SSU rRNA". It matches the Rfam family "Bacterial small subunit ribosomal RNA", at positions 96 to 992 of the family's 1533-position model. Lineage: Bacteria; Bacillati; Bacillota; Bacilli; Lactobacillales; Lactobacillaceae. The record is from RNAcentral.